Non-coding RNA from Hordeum vulgare subsp. vulgare (domesticated barley), 136 nucleotides. Lineage: Eukaryota; Viridiplantae; Streptophyta; Magnoliopsida; Poales; Poaceae. The record is from Rfam.
CAAAUACUCCCUCCGUUCCAANNNNNNUGUCUUAGAUUUGUUUAAAUAUGAAUGUAUCUAGUCAAGUUUUAGUAUUUAGAUACGUCCAUUUCUAGACAAAGUUAAGACAAGAAUUUUGAGACGGAGGGAGAAGACA